UUUGUCCGCCGGACUCGGAAUGGCGCGAGACUUUGCGAGGCGCCUCCGUGUGCCAAAGAUAGGCCGCGGGCACAGCCGCGUCCAAAAAUAAUCGCCUGAAGGCCGGGGCGCCAAGUUCGUCCAGCGGAAAAAGCCCGCAAAAAUGGGUGGGCUAUAGCCUUGGGGGGUGGGGCUGCCCAACUUCGUCCGCCGGACUCGGAAUGGCGCUAGACUUUGCGAGGCACCUCCGUGUACCAAAAAUAGGCCGUGGGCACAGCCGCGCCCAAAAAUAAUCGCCCGAAGGCCGGGGCGCCAAGUUCGUCCAGCGGAACAACCCACAAAAACGGGUGGGCUAUAGCCUUGGGGGGUGGGUCUGGCCAACUUCGUCCGCCGGACUCGGAAUGGCGCUAGACUCUGCGAGGCGCCUCCGUGUGCCAAAAAUAGGCCGCGGGCACAGCCGCGCCCAAAAAUAAUCGCCCAAAUGCCGGGGCGCGAAGUUCGUCCAGCGGAAAAAGGCCACAAAAACGGGUGGGUUAUAGCCUUGGGGGGUGGGGCUGGCCAACUUCGUCCGCCGGACUCGGAAUGGCGCGAGACUUUGCGAGGCGCCUCCGUGUGCCAAAAAUAGGCAGCGGGCGCAGCCGCGUCUAAAAAUAACCGCCCAAAGGCCGGGGCGCCAAGUUCGUCCAGCAGAAAAAGCCCGCAAAAACGGGUGGGCUAUAGCCUUGGGGGGUUGGGCUGGCCAACUUCGUCCGCCGGACUCGGAAUGGCGCGAGACUUUGCGAGGUGCCUCCGUGUGCCAAAAAUAGGCUGUGGGCACAGCCGCGCGCAAAAAUAAUCGCCCGAAGGCCGGGGCGCCAAGUUCGUCCAGUGGAAAAAGCCCACAAAAACGGGUGGGCUAUAGCCUUGGGGGGUGGGGCAGCCCAACUUCGUCCGCCGGACUCGGAAUGGCGCUAGACUUUGCGAGGCGCCUCCGUGUGCCAAAAAUAGGCCGCGGGCACAGCCGCGCCCAAAAAUAAUCGCCCGAAUGCCGGGGCGCCAAGUUCGUCCAGCGGAAAAAGGCCAACGGGUGGGUUAUAGCCUUGGGGGGUGGGGCUGGCCAACUUCGUCCGCCGGACUCGGAAUGACAAGAGGCUUUGCGAGCAGCCUCCGUGGGCCAAAAAUAGGCUGCGGGCACAGCCGCGCCCAAAAAUAACCGCCCGAAAACCGGGGCGCCAAGUUCGUCCAGCGGAAAAAGGCCACAAAAACGGGUGGGCUAUAGCCUUGGGAGGUGGGGCUGGCCAACUUUGUCCGCCGGACUCGGAAUGGCGCGAGACUUUGCGAGACGCCUCCGUGUGCCAAAAAUAGGCCGCGGGCACAGCCGCACCCAAAAAUAACCGCCCAAAGGCCGGUGCGCCAGGUUCGUCCAGCGGAAAAAGCCCGCAAAAACGGGUGGGCUAUAGCCUUGGGGAAUGGGGCUGGCCAACUUCGUCCGCCGGACUCGGAAUGGCACGAGACUUUGCGAGGUGCCUCCGUGUGCCAUAGAUAGGCCGCGGGCACAGCCGUGUCCAAAAAUAAUCACCCGAAGGCCGGGGUUCCAAGUUCGUCCAGCGGAAAAAGCCCACAAAAACGGGUGGGCUAUAGCCUUGGGGUGUGGGGCUGGCCAACUUCGUCCGCCGGACUCGGAAUGGCGCGAGACUUUGCGAGAUGCCUCCGUGUGACAAAAAUAGGCAGUGGGAACAGCCGCGACCAAAAAUAACCGCCCGAAGGCCAGGGCGCCAAGUUUGUCCAGCGGAAAAAGCCCGCAAAAACGGGUGGGCUAUAGCCUUGGGGGGUGGGGCUGCCCAACUUCGUCCGCCGGACUCGGAAUGGCGCUAGACUUUGCGAGGCACCUCCGUGUACCAAAAAUAGGCCGUGGUCACAGCCGCGUCCAAAAAUAAUCGCCCGAAGGCCGGGGCGCCAAGUUCGUCCAGUGGAAAAAGCCCGCAAAAACGGGUGGGCUAUAGCCUUGGGGGGUGGGGCUGCCCAACUUCGUCCAACGGACUCGGAAUGGCGCUAGACUUUGCGAGGUGCCUCCGUGUGCCAAAGAUAGGCCGCGGGCACAGCCGCGUCCAAAAAUAAUCGCCCGAAGUCCGGGGCGCCAAGUUCGUCCAGCGUAAAAAGCCCACAGAAAUGGGUGGGCUAUAGCCUUGGUGGGUGGGGCUGUCCAACUUCGUCCGCCGGACUCGGAAUGACGAGAGGCUUUGCGAACGGCCUCCGUGUGCCAAAAAUAGGCUGCGGGUACAGACGCGCCCAAAAAUAACCUCCCGAAAACCGGGGCGCCAAGUUCGUCCAGCGGAAAAAGGCCACAAAAACGGGUGGGCUAUAGCCUUGGGGGGUGGGGCUGGCCAACUUUGUCCGCCGGACUCGGAAUGGCGCGAGACUUUGCGAGGCACCUCCGUGUGCCAAAAAUAGGCCGCGGGCACAGCCGCGCCCAAAAAUAACCGCCCGAAAGCCGGGGCGCCAAGUUCGUCCAGCGGAAAAAGCCCGCAAAAACGGGUGGGCUAUAGCCUUGGGGGAUGGGGCUGGCCAACUUCGUCCGCCGGACUCGGAAUGGCGCGAGACUUUGCGAGGCACCUCCGUGUGCCAAAAAUAGGCCACGGGCACAGCCGUGCCCAAAAAUAACAGCCCGAAGAUCGGGGCGCCAAGUUCGUCCAGCAGAAAAAGCCCGCAAAAACGGGUGGGCUAUAGCCUUGAAGGAUGGGGCUGGCCAACUUCGUCCGCCGGACUCGGAAUGGCGCGAGACUUUGCGAGGUGCCUCUGUGUGCCAAAGAUAGGCCGCGGGCACAGCCGUGUCCAAAAAUAAUCGCCCGAAGGCCGGGGCGCCAAGUUCGUCCAGCGUAAAAAGCCCACAAAAACGGGUGGGCUAUAGCCUUGGUGGGUGGGGUGGGGCUGGCCACUCGUCGCUACUCGGAAUGGCGCUAGACUUGCGAGGCACCUCCGUGUACCAAAAAUAGGCCGCGGGGCACAGCCGCGUCCCAAAAAUAAUCGCCCGAAGGACGGGGCGCCAAGUUCGUCCAGCGGAAAAACCCACAAAAAACGGGUGGGCUAUAGCCUUGGGGGGGUGGGGCUGGCAAACUUCGUCCGCCGGACCCGGAAUGGCGCUAGACUUUGCGAGGGCGUCUCCGUGUGCCAAAAAAUAAGCUGCGGGCACAGCCGUAUACCCAAAAUAUAUCUCCCGAAUUGCCGGGGGCGCGCGAGGUCGUUCAGCGGGAAAAAGGCCCCACAAAAACGGGUGUGGUUAAAUAGCUUGGGGGGUGGGGGCUGGCCCAACUUCGUUCCGUCGGACUCGGAAAGGCGCCGGAGCUUUGCGAGGUGCCUUCGUGUGCCCAAAGAUAAGCCGCCGGCACAGCCGUGUCCCAAAAUAAUCGCCCGAAGGCCGGGGCGCCAAGUUCGUCCAGCAGAAAAAGCCCGCAAAAACGGGUGGGCUAUUGCCUUGGGGAGUUGGGCUGCCCAACUUCGUCCGCCGGACUCGGAAUGGCGCGAGACUUUGCGAGGCACCUCCGUGUGCCAAAAAUAGGCUGCGGGCACAGCCGCGCCCAAAAAUAAUCGCCCGAAGGCCGGGGCGCCAAGUUCGUCCAGCGGAAAAAGCCCACAAAAACGGGUGGGCUAUAGCCAUGGGGGGUGGGGCUGGCCAACUUCGUCCGCCGGACUGGGAAUGAUGCUAGACUUUACGAGGCGCCUCCAUGUGCCAA
Molecule: long non-coding RNA, 3689 nt
Filed under: Citrus x clementina
Lineage: Eukaryota; Viridiplantae; Streptophyta; Magnoliopsida; Sapindales; Rutaceae
Description: Citrus clementina (C. clementina) long non-coding RNA (CCLE_LNC003773)
Source: RNAcentral